AUUGAACGCUGGCGGCAGGCCUAACACAUGCAAGUCGAGCGAGUGGCGGACGGGUGAGUAAUGUCUGGGGAUCUGCCUGAUGGAGGGGGAUAACUACUGGAAACGGUAGCUAAUACCGCAUACCAUCGGAUGUGCCCAGAUGGGAUUAGCUUGUAGGUGGGGUAACGGCUCACCUAGGCGACGAUCCCUAGCUGGUCUGAGAGGAUGAUCAGCCACACUGGAACUGAGACACGGGCCAGACUCCUCCGGGAGGCAGCAGUGGGGAAUAUUGCACAAUGGGCGCAAGCCUGAUGCAGCCAUGCCGCGUGUAUGAAGAAGGCCUUCGGGUUGUAAAGUACUUUCAGUCGGGAGGCGUUACCCACAGAAGAAGCACCGGCUAACUCCGUGCCAGCAGCCGCGGUAAUUC
Molecule: ribosomal RNA, 406 nt
Filed under: uncultured bacterium
Lineage: Bacteria
Description: partial 16S ribosomal RNA
Rfam family: Bacterial small subunit ribosomal RNA
Source: RNAcentral